GUGUCAGCCGCCGCGGUAAUACGUAGGGCGCAAGCGUUGUCCGGAAUUAUUGGGCGUAAAGAGCUCGUAGGCGGUUUGUCGCGUCUGUCGUGAAAGCUUGGGGCUUAACCCUAAGUCUGCGGUGGAUACGGGCAGACUAGAGGCAGGUAGGGGAGAACGGAAUUCCCGGUGUAGCGGUGAAAUGCGCAGAUAUCGGGAGGAACACCGGUGGCGAAGGCGGUUCUCUGGGCCUGUACUGACGCUGAGGAGCGAAAGCGUGGGGAGCGAACAGGAUUAGAUACCCUCGUAGUCC
Molecule: ribosomal RNA, 292 nt
Filed under: uncultured bacterium
Lineage: Bacteria
Description: partial 16S ribosomal RNA
Rfam family: Bacterial small subunit ribosomal RNA
Source: RNAcentral